This 69-nucleotide transfer RNA is filed under the name Sphaerodactylus townsendi. Its description in RNAcentral is "tRNA-Val". The record is from RNAcentral. Lineage: Eukaryota; Metazoa; Chordata; Lepidosauria; Squamata; Sphaerodactylidae.
GCCAUGGCUCAGUGGUAAGGCAUCUGCCUCACAUGAAAAAGGUCCCAGGUUCAAGACUUAGCAUCUGCU